Non-coding RNA from Camellia sinensis, 3583 nucleotides. NCBI's taxonomy places the organism in Eukaryota, Viridiplantae, Streptophyta, Magnoliopsida, Ericales, Theaceae. The record is from RefSeq and is a predicted model, not a curated record.
ACAGAAGAAUAUGUUCCCAAGUGGACGCGAACUCUGAAAGGAAGGAGGAACCUAAAUAUAUAAAUUGGAACUAAAAAUUUUCUCUCUGUGAAAUGCUCUUCAAUGGAAGUGAUGCUAUUUGGAUCCUCUGAUUAUGCGUCUCUCUCCUCCUUUUCUCCUCUCCAACGCAAACAGAAACCCCAAUUUCUCUCCCAAGAGGCAUGGAGAACUAUUGACCGUGCAUAUGUUGACAAAAAUUUCAAUGGACAAAGUUAGUUAAGGUACAGAGAAAAUGCAUUGCGUAAUGAACCAAUGAACACCAGAGAAGAGACAUGUAUAUCCUUUAUUUAUUUAUUAUUUUCAACAAUUUAUAUUCAUGGCUUGUAUAGUUUGUAGAUUACUGCUGUACAGAACAAACGCCCUGUGUGCAUCAGUGAUUUUGUUUUAUUUUUUCUAUAGCCAAAGUUCUCUCUAUGCUUGGCAUCCUUGAGAAGGUUCUAAGCCUCAUUUCCGCGGCCUCUGUGAGAUAAAUCUAAAGAUAUAACUUAUUAUGCUCUAAUAACCCUUACCUAAUGUAGUGUUACUAUAGGAAAAUUAUUAUUAUUAUUUUUUUGGUUAAGUAUUAUUAUUAUUAUUUUAGUUUUUUUUCCCCUUCGCUUCAGUGAAGUAUUCUGAAUUCUGAUUGCAUCCAUUGGUAGAUGCACCUAUCUUAAAUUUGAUUGUGUCCACUGCUAGAUGCACCUAUCUUGAAUGAAAUUCAAUUCUUGGUCUAAUCAAAUACCCAAUACUCCAUUUCCUGCUACUUUUUGGUGUCACUAUAUAUACAAAUCUGAUGCUUCAAUCCAUGAAAUUGUGUUUAACAACAUUUUGAGCUAGUAAGGUUCUCCAUUUCAUUACCGAUUUUCUGCAUGAAGAUAUUUGUAUGGAUGGCUUCAAUCAGGAUGAACUCGGCAUCAUGGGUUUGGGAACAUGAAGCUGACAAAGGAUGCUUUUCCCUUAAAGUUAACUCAUGGAGUUGACAAAAUUCACUCCACUCAUGAAAGGUGUUAGGCUGAACUAUAAAUGAAGUUGCAGCAAAGGUGUUACUUCUUUGGUGUUUCAGGAAUCAUUCCCCGUCUGAGCUGGGGGUAACUUGAUGUCAUAAUACCUCUCUAUUUUGUGAUAAACCAAUUGCCUAUCAUGAAAAGAUUGAAAAUGCUGUGAGGCUUCUCUCUUUAUAGAGGGCAUCAACUGCCUUGAAGAGUUUGAGCAUAAUGGGCCGAUCAAAAAAAAAUAUAUAUAUAUAAAAAAAGAAGAAGAAAAGUUUGAGCAUAAUGGAUUUGAUUUUAAGCUUUUCUAACAAGAUGGUCACACACAUCCAAUCAGAUAGAGGCAUUUAGGAUGUGUUACUUGUGUAUAUAUUUGAUAUGUAGCUAUCCAGAAAAUACACUCUGGUUUAUCUUUCAGGGAAGGUACACUUCUUAAUUUAGGCGGCAGUUUUGGUAGAUGGCGUGCCCUGAUUACUUUUAAUCUUCUACUCAUUGGAGAUGCUCUCAAGUCUAGUAGUGGCAGGGAGGGAAUGGCACGAUGAUGGUCUAGUAGAGUUUGCCUGGAAGCUGCUGCUCCGCUUCAUUAGUUUUGUAACUUUGCUAGGAUUGUACGAAACAAGUUCAAAAGGUGGUAAAGUAUAUCUGUUAGGUUAUCAUGCUUGCCACUGCCAAUUUCCUAUUAUCUCAUUUAUUUAGGGAGCUUAAGGAAGAAAAAUAUGCUGUGUGCAAAGCUAUACUGCCCAUACUUCAAGCUGAAGAGUAUGAAAGAUUUGUGAAAGAGUGGAAGUAAGUAUCUUGAAGAAGAUGCGAGAAUAAUGAAGGAUGUGCCUAGGUGGAAAGUUGGUGAAUGUGUCUAUAACUUUGGAAGAUGGAUGCCUCCUGCAAUCGGUGAGCUCAAUCCUGACGUCUGGGGUUUGUGCUCAACACCGAUCAUGAAGCUCUCAAGUACAUCAAUAGUCAAUCCCAUCUUAACAAAUGCCAUGCUAAAUGGGUGGCCUACUUGCAACAAUUCACAUUCUCUUUGAGCCACAAAUCGGGGGUUCUUGAUAAGGUGGCCGAUGGGUUGAGUAGGCGAACGGCUUUCUUGAUUGAAAUGACAAAUGAAGUAGUGGGUUUUGAUGAAUUUCGCACAUUCUAUGCAAGUGAUCCUUACUUUUCCAAGAUCUUUGAUGCUUUGCAAAGGGGGGAUAGGACGGCUUAUCCAAGUUACAUGAAAACGGACGGAUUUCUCUUCCAUGGCCUUAAGUUGUGUGUUUCUAAUUGUUCCUUGAGGACACAUUUGUUGGUUGAGCAUCAUAAGAUGGGGCACUUUGAUAAGGACAAGACCCUUGGGUUGCUUCAAGAUGUUUAUUAUUGGCCGGGCAUGACCAAGGAUGUGUAAAGUCAAGUGAAGCGUUGUCAAAUUUGUCAAAUGAGCAAGGGGAGUGCCACUAAUGCGGGCUAUAUCUACCUUUACCGGUGCCGGAUGCUCCUUGGCAGUGCAUUGGUAUGGACUUUGUGUUGGGCCUCCCUCCUACUCAAAGGUGGAGUGAUUCUAUCAUGGUAGUGGUGGAUCAUUUCUCCAAGAUGACACAUUUCAUACCUUGCAAGAAGACCAUGGAUGCUACAAACAUUGCUAAUCUUUUCUUCAAGGAAGUCUAUAAGUUGCAUAGGAUGCAUACUUCUAUUACGUUCGACAGAGAUGCUAAGUUCCUUGCUCACUUUUGGAGAACUUUGUGGAAGAAAAUUGGCACGGACUUGAGUUCUAGUACUACAUUCUAUCCAUAAACCGGUGGUCAAACGAAGGUAGUGAACCGUAGCCUUGGCAACUUGCUGCGGUGCCUUGUGAGGGAUCACCCCAAGAGUUGGGAUGGCAUCCUUUGGUUGAAUUUGCUUACAAUUCAUCUAUCAACCGCACCAUAAAUACUUCUCCCUUUGAAGUAGUUUAUGGGACAAGGCCUUCAAGUGUGGUGGAUUUGGUGCCUUUGUCACUCUCAAGGAAAUGAAGUGUUAAGGCAGAAGAAAUGACCACGUUCAUGAAGAGCAUUCAUUCUCAAGUGAGGGCCCAAAUUGAAAAGUCUAAUGCGAAGUAUAAAGCGGUUGGUGAUGUGCAUAGGCGCAGAGUGGUGUUUGAAGUAGGGGAUCUCGUGUGGGUGGUAUUGAGCAAAGAGAGAUAUCCCCAUGGCGCCUACACUAAGUUGAGUGACAAGAAGAUGGGACCUUGUGAGGUGUUGCGCAAGAUUAACGACAAUGCUUAUCAAGUCAAGCUACUCCCUCAUUUAGGCAUCUCCAAUGCCUUUAACGUGCAGCACCUUAUUCCCUACUUUCCGAAUGCCUCUUCCAUUGAUGAUACCUUUACCCCUUGUAGAAUAGUUCCUUGAAAGUUGUAAUCUUGUACUUAGGUUUUGUGUUUUUCAUUUCUAGUAUUGGUUGUAUUUUGUUGUUUUUACUUGAGGACGAAGUCUUUUCUUAAGAGAGGGAGUACGGUGUAGUGUCAUAUGCAUAGCAUGUGUUAGAUAGUGUAUCCUAUAAAUAGAGGAGUACUACUUCACUUGUAACUAACUUGGACAUAUUGAAUUUGAACUGAAUUGAGAAUU